AUUGAACGCUGGCGGCAUGCCUAACACAUGCAAGUCGAACGAGUGGCGGACGGGUGAGUAAUGUCUGGGAAACUGCCUGAUGUAGGGGGAUAACUACGGGAAACGGUAGCUAAUACCGCUUACCAUCGUAUGUGCCCAGGGGGGAUUAGCUAGUAGGUGGGGUAAAGGCUCACCUAGGCGACGAUCCCUAGCUGGUCUGAGAGGAUGACCAGCCACACUGGGACUGAGACACGGUCCAGACUCCUACGGGAGGCAGCAGUGGGGAAUAUUGCGCAAUGGGCGCAAGCCUGAUACAGCCAUGCCGCGUGUGUGAAGAAGGCCUUCGGGUUGUAAAGCACUGUCGGCAGGGAGGCGGUACUCGAAGAAGAAGCACCGGCUAACUCCGUGCCAGCAGCCGCGGUAAUUC
Molecule: ribosomal RNA, 406 nt
Filed under: uncultured bacterium
Lineage: Bacteria
Description: partial 16S ribosomal RNA
Rfam family: Bacterial small subunit ribosomal RNA
Source: RNAcentral